CUGAUUGGUGUGGGAUGUUAAAAAAGACUUAUCUACAGAAAGGACUUUAAGUCUAAAAACUGAAGAAGGGGAAGCUGAAAGGGAAAUGAGACCUCUGGGCAGAGUAAGUUGGCUGUGUGGCUCAUAAGGCUGUUGGUUCUUUCCAGGAACUCAAAGAGGCUGGCUCCAGAAUGCAGUAAAGCACAUUUCGAUGCUGAGCACUUCUGUAAAAUGCAGUGAGGCACACUGCUUGGACUUGUGCUCACUGGGAACAUUACCUUAUUCACUCCUUGGAUUCAAGAUGGCUGCUCCUCAAUCUACAAUGAUUCAUGAAUUAUUGGACCAAUAUAAAAUUACAUUUCUCAUCUUUGAUCAAACAUUGUUAUACUCUAUUCCCAUAUACACUUCUCAGAGUUUUACCAAUAAAAACUAGAAAUUCGGAAGUUCA
Molecule: long non-coding RNA, 427 nt
Organism: Marmota monax (woodchuck)
Lineage: Eukaryota; Metazoa; Chordata; Mammalia; Rodentia; Sciuridae
Exons: 3
Source: RefSeq, a predicted model, not a curated record